Molecule: unclassified non-coding RNA, 301 nt
Filed under: Glomeraceae sp.
Lineage: Eukaryota; Fungi; Glomeromycota; Glomeromycetes; Glomerales; Glomeraceae
Description: partial contains 5.8S ribosomal RNA and internal transcribed spacer 2
Rfam family: 5.8S ribosomal RNA (bases 1-71)
Source: RNAcentral
GUGAAUCAUCGAAUCUUUGAACGCAAAUUGCACCCUCUGGCAUUCCAGAGAGUAUGCCUGUUUGAGGGUCAGUUUAAAUAAAAAUCGAGGUUGUUGCUUUUUUGUGGCUCCAUCGGAAUUGGGUUAUCUUUGACCUUUUUAAAGGUUGAAGUGACCUAAAAUUGAUACUCCUUGUGCAUCUCAGACGUACAUAAGAAUAUUUUUUUUUUUAUCCGUCCGGGAUUGCCAACCUUUACUAGGUAUGACUACGUUGUUUGUGUGGCAUCGUACCUAUAAAAUACAACUCAUAUUUUGACCUCAA